Cotesia glomerata is the source of this 587-nucleotide long non-coding RNA. RefSeq lists it as uncharacterized. The record is from RefSeq and is a predicted model, not a curated record. The transcript is spliced from 2 exons. Lineage: Eukaryota; Metazoa; Arthropoda; Insecta; Hymenoptera; Braconidae.
UUUAUCCGCACUCAUUUAGCUAUCGACGAAUCACAGAGCGCUGUGAUCUUGAGCCCUCGUAGUCAUAGUUUGAGACUAAUAAGUGAGUCUCCAAGGUGAAGGUGUCGGCGAAGUGAGAGUGGGAAGAGCAGAGGAAGAAAGAAACGCACUGAAAAAAUUCGGAAGAGUUAUUGUGACCGAACAGUCUAAUUGAAAGACACGCAAAAUUCACUAAGCAUCUAGCAAAGGCCGAAUGUCAGCUUGCAUAAAUUAAUUUUUAUUUGUCAUAAUUUCUAAUGCUGAUUUGCGGUUACAGGUUUUAUAAAAUAUCUGGAGAGCGAGUGACGGUGACCGAAGUUUUUGCCGCGAAGCAGAAUACCUCACCGAGAAAAGAUUAGUACCAGCACGGAGACAAGGAGUUUGCAGCUCAUUGAGCGAGUGCAUCAUAAAAUUAUAAAAACUCCAGGUACAAAUAUCAUGUCUGAAUAAUUUCUCGGGUGUGCGGCAUCAGCCAGGCUCUCAUGUCGGCUGAAGGUCAUCGCCAUUUCGCGUUCGGCCACAAUCAUUAGUUUUAGUAAAAUAUUUAAGAAUUAAUUUAGAAUAAAAUU